AGAGUUUGAUCCUGGCUCAGAUUGAACGCUGGCGGAAUGCUUUACACAUGCAAGUCGAACGGCAGCACGGGUGCUUGCACCUGGUGGCGAGUGGCGAACGGGUGAGUAAUGCGUCGGAACGUACCGAGUAAUGGGGGAUAACGCAGCGAAAGUUGUGCUAAUACCGCAUACGCCCUGAGGGGGAAAGUGGGGGAUCGUAAGACCUCACGUUAUUCGAGCGGCCGACGUCUGAUUAGCUAGUUGGUGAGGUAAUGGCUCACCAAGGCGACGAUCAGUAGCGGGUCUGAGAGGAUGAUCCGCCACACUGGGACUGAGACACGGCCCAGACUCCUACGGGAGGCAGCAGUGGGGAAUUUUGGACAAUGGGGUCAACCCUGAUCCAGCCAUUCCGCGUGAGUGAAGAAGGCCUUCGGGUUGUAAAGCUCUUUCAGCAGGAACGAAACGGUACGCUCUAACAUAGUGUGCUAAUGACGGUACCUGCAGAAGAAGCACCGGCUAACUACGUGCCAGCAGCCGCGGUAAUACGUAAGGUGCGAGCGUUAAUCGGAAUUACUGGGCGUAAAGCGUGCGCAGGCGGAUUGUUAAGCAAGAUGUGAAAUCCCCGGGCUUAACCUGGGAAUGGCAUUUUGAACUGGCAGUCUAGAGUGUGUCAGAGGGGGGUGGAAUUCCACGUGUAGCAGUGAAAUGCGUAGAGAUGUGGAGGAACACCGAUGGCGAAGGCGGCUUCCUGGACCAAUACUGACGCUCAGGUGCGAAAGCGUGGGGAGCAAACA
This 773-nucleotide ribosomal RNA is filed under the name uncultured bacterium. RNAcentral describes it as "bacterial SSU rRNA". It matches the Rfam family "Bacterial small subunit ribosomal RNA", at positions 8 to 774 of the family's 1533-position model. The record is from RNAcentral.